AUUGAACGCUGGCGGCAUGCUUUACACAUGCAAGUCGAACGGUAACAGGCCGCAAGGUGCUGACGAGUGGCGAACGGGUGAGUAAUGCAUCGGAACGUGCCCAGUCGUGGGGGAUAACGCAGCGAAAGCUGUGCUAAUACCGCAUACGAUCUAUGGAUGAAAGCGGGGGACCGUAAGGCCUCGCGCGAUUGGAGCGGCCGAUGUCAGAUUAGCUAGUUGGUGGGGUAAAGGCCCACCAAGGCGACGAUCUGUAGCUGGUCUGAGAGGACGACCAGCCACACUGGGACUGAGACACGGCCCAGACUCCUACGGGAGGCAGCAGUGGGGAAUUUUGGACAAUGGGCGCAAGCCUGAUCCAGCAAUGCCGCGUGCAGGAAGAAGGUCUUCGGGUUGUAAACUGCUUUUGUACGGAACGAAACGGUCUGGGUUAAUACCUCGGGCUAAUGACGGUACCGUAAGAAUAAGCACCGGCUAACUACGUGCCAGCCGCCGCCGUAA
Molecule: ribosomal RNA, 498 nt
Filed under: uncultured bacterium
Lineage: Bacteria
Description: partial 16S ribosomal RNA
Rfam family: Bacterial small subunit ribosomal RNA
Source: RNAcentral